Molecule: long non-coding RNA, 1448 nt
Organism: Myotis davidii
Lineage: Eukaryota; Metazoa; Chordata; Mammalia; Chiroptera; Vespertilionidae
Exons: 3
Source: RefSeq, a predicted model, not a curated record
UCCAUUGCAGAGUGAUCAUCACCAUGCUGGUAGCCACUGCUGUCUGCUGUUACCUCUUCUGGCUCAUCGCCAUCCUGGCCCAGCUGAACCCUCUGUUUGGGCCACAGCUGAAGAAUGAGACCAUCUGGUAUGUGCGCUUCCUGUGGGAGUGACCGCUGCUGCUUCAGCCCAGGUCCCCCAGCUCUCCGGAUAACCUUGGCUCAGCUGCCCCUGAAGACCCCUUUGUUCCACCCCCACAGCUGUGUCGUGAUCCCUCUGUGUUGAAGUAAUGGAAAAUCAUUCACACCCAAAACACCAUGGUAAUUUGGGUCCCGAUUGAAACUUGUAUGUUUAGCAUUCUUUAUGGUUGUAAAGUCACGUAAAGUGGCCUGCUCAGAAAGUGUCCCUCCUUGGAAUACCUUGUUCCUCUCUCCUCCUGUACCUGCCCCCCACACUGCGGACAAGCACCCCUUCCUCCCUAGAGGCUCAGAAACGAGGCAGCUCCUGCCCCCAGUUUGGACUCCACUCAUUCGGCUGCAGUGAGGGCAGAUUUCAGAGCCCCUUACAGCAGCCCCUAGGUCACCUGAGCUGCGAAGGAUGAAGAUAGACAGGUGUAGGCAGGGUUUGGGCAGCACAGAGGGCUUCUGAGGCCGGCUGGGAUGGUGAGGGAUGGAAGGGCAUUGGCCCUGACUGGCUGAGCAGGCAGCAGACCAAUGAGAUCCUGGGACCCGCAGCCCAUGCCCUCACUCCCAGGAUUGCUGAGGCUGAGAUCCCAGACAUUUGCCCGGUCUCAGAGCUAACCAGGGCCUCCUCUCUGCCGCAUGGCCUCCCUGGAGGAAGAAGCCAAUUUCAUGUAUUUAUUGACUAUUUAUUUGAUUGGCCUUCCUCCCACGUAGUGGGCAUUGUUUUUGGACCUGCGGGAGGGUGUGUGGUGUCUCCCUGGAUUUCUUGGUCUGGGCUUGGCCUGUUGCUCAGAGCUCAGGCUGGGCCUCCCCUUGAUAUCCGACAGGCCCCUUUCAAAGUCCCUUCCUGUCCUGACCCCUGUGGCUCUCCUGGGGUGGGGGGAUUGUGUGUGGGUUGUACAGAAAACCUCAUCUGUAUCUAGUGACUCACAAGUGGUGGGAAAUCACUUUUCAGUGGCAGAGUCCUGGCUGAGGCCAAGUUUGCUGGCCACCCUUUCCCUGCCCAGCUGAUUUCCAUGUCCUCAGAGGGUGGGGGUGAGGUUGGGGACAGGAAAGAGGGCUCGAAGUGGCUUGGAGCUGCAGCUCUGGGAUGUGGACACAGAACUACAUUUUCCUGAGACCUGAAGGAAAGUGCAGCUGGUCUGGAUUCUGCCAGGAUCAGGCCUGGCAGGAGGAGGAGAAAGUGGGAGCCUUGCUCAAGUGGAACUUUGACCACCACUCAUCUGUGCCCCUGAUUGCAGAGUGAACAAUUCUUGGACUGUGCAAUAAAGCAGGUUCCCAACCUUU